GAUGAACGCUGGCGGCGUGCCUAAUACAUGCAAGUCGAACGCUGGAGAUCUAGCUUGCUAGAUCGAAGGAGUGGCGAACGGGUGAGUAAUACAUAAGCAACCUACUCACGAAGACUGGGAUAAUCUCUGGAAACGGGGACUAAUACCGGAUAGGUAAUCGGAAGGCAUCUUCUGAUUAUUAAAGGUUAAAAACACUGGUGGAUGGGCUUAUGGCGCAUUAGUUAGUUGGUGAGGUAACGGCCCACCAAGACGAUGAUGCGUAGCCGGCCUGAGAGGGUGAACGGCCACAUUGGGACUGAGACACGGCCCAGACUCCUACGGGAGGCAGCAGUAGGGAAUUUUCGGCAAUGGGGGAAACCCUGACCGAGCAACGCCGCGUGAGUGAUGACGGCCUUCGGGUUGUAAAGCUCUGUUGUAAGGGAAGAACGGUAGAUAGAGAAUAUCUAAGUGACGGUACCUUACCAGAAAGCCACGGCUAACUACGUGCCAGCAGCCGCGGUAAUACGUAGGUGGCGAGCGUUAUCCGGAAUUAUUGGGCGUAAAGGGUGCGUAGGCGGCCUGUUAAGUAAGUGGUUAAAUUGUUGGGCUCAACCCAAUCCAGCCACUUAAACUGGCAGGCUAGAGUAUUGGAGAGGCAAGUGGAAUUCCAUGUGUAGCGGUAAAAUGCGUAGAUAUAUGGAGGAACACCAGUGGCGAAGGCGGCUUGCUAGCCAAAGACUGACGCUCAUGCACGAAAGCGUGGGGAGCAAAUAGG
Molecule: ribosomal RNA, 754 nt
Filed under: uncultured Bulleidia sp.
Lineage: Bacteria; Bacillati; Bacillota; Erysipelotrichia; Erysipelotrichales; Erysipelotrichaceae
Description: bacterial SSU rRNA
Rfam family: Bacterial small subunit ribosomal RNA
Source: RNAcentral